This 395-nucleotide long non-coding RNA is filed under the name Homo sapiens (human). RNAcentral describes it as "long non-coding RNA NONHSAT018298". Lineage: Eukaryota; Metazoa; Chordata; Mammalia; Primates; Hominidae. The record is from RNAcentral.
GGAAAUUCCACCCGCAUUCAACGCCCCGGGCUCAGCCGCGGCUGCGCCCGGAAUCCGGGGCCUCUCCUUCGUGACCCCGGAGUGGGCAAGUGACGAGGGCACGGCCAGAAACGCAUUGGCGUCAAGGAAACCACGACCCAUCUUCCUGGAAGGAAACUUGGGGACACUUAUGAAGAGAAGACUAGGAAGGACCGGAGUAGAAGCACUAAAGGAGGAACCAUGUGGAAGGGAUAUAAAUAUCCCCCAGGAGGGACUCCAGUGGAAGUAAGCAAGGAUGAUCCUGGUGAAGUAAUGCAGCUGUGAAGCUCACCUGACCAGCUGUACAGUUCCUGUUGUUGGUUUCACAUAAAGUAAUUGCACAUUAUUUUGUCAUAUUUUAUGUUAAGAAGUUACCG